CAGAACGAACGCUGGCUCCCGUGCCUAACACAUGCAAGUCGAACGAGAAAGCGGGGGCAACUCCGCGAGUACAGUGGCGCACGGGUGAGUAACACGUGACUAACCUGCCCUUAAGUGGGGGAUAACCUCGGGAAACCGGGGCUAAUACCGCAUAACCUCGUGAGGUGAAAUUCCUUGCGAGCAAAGGAGCAAUUCGCUUUUGGAGGGGGUCGCGGCUGAUUAGGUAGUUGGCGGGGUAACGGCCCACCAAGCCGAUGAUCAGUAUCCGGCCUGAGAGGGCGCACGGACACACUGGAACUGAAACACGGUCCAGACUCCUACGGGAGGCAGCAGUGGG
This 337-nucleotide ribosomal RNA is filed under the name uncultured Acidobacteriota bacterium. Its description in RNAcentral is "bacterial SSU rRNA". It matches the Rfam family "Bacterial small subunit ribosomal RNA", at positions 25 to 358 of the family's 1533-position model. The record is from RNAcentral. Lineage: Bacteria; Pseudomonadati; Acidobacteriota.